RNAcentral lists this ribosomal RNA (492 nucleotides) under Triticum aestivum (bread wheat). RNAcentral's name for it is "partial small subunit ribosomal RNA". Lineage: Eukaryota; Viridiplantae; Streptophyta; Magnoliopsida; Poales; Poaceae. The record is from RNAcentral.
AUGUGUGUCCCUGAUCUCAGCAUUCUCAGGAGUGCUGUGUUAGGAGACCAAUCUUAUCAUAUGGGAGCCAUUGUAGCUCGCAAGUUGCAUCAGAAUAGACAUAACGGAGAUUUCUUUGGAGGAAUUUAUGCAACCCGCUUAGCUAAUUUUCUUGAGAUAGACAUUCGUGAGGGUGAUAUGGAGUUACCCCCUUCUUAUUUAGAUUUUGACUCUAUGGUUUCCCACCAGUUUGUUGAGAGGACUGAACCACCUCUCCAGUAUCGACUAAUCUUUAACAAACGUCAUGUAGUCCAUAUUGCUCUUCCUGCUCCUACCUUCUUUGAUUUUCAGACAAAAGGAAGAUAUAUUAUUUCUAGAGAGGAGGCAGAUGAGUACGAGAGGAGAGCGGAGGCUGCUCGAUGCCACGCUACAGCUCAGGUGGUGAUAGCCGCUGCAUCACAGUAUGACCCCAGCUUCACCUACGGGUAUCUGCCAGGCUAUCCCCGGCAAUAG